CCUACGGGUGGCUGCAGUGGGGAAUAUUGGACAAUGGGCGAAAGCCUGAUCCAGCCAUGCCGCGUGUGUGAAGAAGGCCUUCGGGUUGUAAAGCACUUUCAGUGGGGAAGAAAGCCUUGGGGCUAAUACCCUCGAGGAAGGACAUCACCCACAGAAGAAGCACCGGCUAACUCCGUGCCAGCAGCCGCGGUAAUACGGAGGGUGCGAGCGUUAAUCGGAAUUACUGGGCGUAAGCGCGCGUAGGCGGUCUGAUAAGCCGGUUGUGAAAGCCCCGGGCUCAACCUGGGAACGGCAUCCGGAGCUGUCAGGUGAGAGGGCAGGAGAGGAAGGGAGAAUUCCCGGUGUAGCGGGGAAAUGCGUGCAGAUCGGGAGGAAUACCAGUGGCGAAGGCGGCCUUCUGGACUGACACUGACGCUGAGGUGCGUAAGCGUGGGUAGCACGCAGGAUGAGAUACCCGUGUAGUC
This 464-nucleotide ribosomal RNA is filed under the name Vreelandella stevensii. RNAcentral's name for it is "partial 16S ribosomal RNA". It matches the Rfam family "Bacterial small subunit ribosomal RNA", at positions 338 to 795 of the family's 1533-position model. The record is from RNAcentral. Lineage: Bacteria; Pseudomonadati; Pseudomonadota; Gammaproteobacteria; Oceanospirillales; Halomonadaceae.